Molecule: non-coding RNA, 3255 nt
Organism: Rattus norvegicus (Norway rat)
Lineage: Eukaryota; Metazoa; Chordata; Mammalia; Rodentia; Muridae
Source: RefSeq, a predicted model, not a curated record
GUCUCUCUGUCUGUCUGUCUUCUCUCUCUUUCUCUGUGUCUGUCUCUGUCUGUCUCUGUCUCUGUCUAUCUCUGUCUCUCUGUGUCUGUCUCUGUCUGUCUCUGUGUCUGUCUGUCUGUCUUCUCUCUGUGUGUGUGUGUCUUGGUCUCUCUGUGUCUGUGUCUCUGUGUCUCUCUCUGUGUCUCUCUCUGUGUCUCUCUCUCUGUCUCUGUCUCUGUCUCUGUCUCUCUCUCUCUCUCUCUCUCUCUCUCUCUGUCUUUCUCUCUCUCUCUCCCUCUCUUUCUCUGUCCUUAUUCCCCGAACUUGUUUUUGAGACAUUGCACCUGCUGGGGACUAAACAGUUCCCUCCAGAACCUCAAACUGCUGUGGACGAUUAUGUUCAUAAUAUAAAAUAUUGUUCCAGUUUGCGUUGCUGUGCUGAGAGUGUGGGUUCCUUUGUAUAUUAGUUGUCUGUUACGCCCAUGCUUUAAAGAUCUCUCGUGCUUCAGAUGGGCAAGUUUCUCUCCAUUGUGUCCAAUGGAGCUUAUUGGUCUUUCCUGCUCAAGGUUCCUUAGGCUUCUUCGCCUUAAAGACUUCUUUAUUCCCUACACUACACACUACGCGUUUCUCAGCCUCCUCUUCUCGGCGUUACCUUCCCACCAUUUUCGUCUUUCUGUUCCAUCCCCGAGGUCCCUGAGGCUUCACUUCAUCAGUCUCUGACUCAUUCCUGUCCUUGACCUUGUCUGAUAUAAGCUCACUUUCCUCUCCGGAGACCGGCACCCUGCUUUCCUGCGUCUCCAGCCAUGCAGGGUGACAGUGUUCCACAUCCAGCCACUGAAACACCAGCAGCUUUGGGGAUCCUGGGUCCAGCGGACAAGCUGUUUAGGGUUCGAGGGAAGAAUACAGAAACAGGGAGAGUGGGUUUCCUCCCCUGCAGAACUUCAGAGAAGUUGUGGGAAUGAUCGAGGGCUAUGGCCCCAUUCAUGGCAGAGAUCUCUGAGGUCUGUCUCCUUUCAGUUUACCUGAAAGUAAGGGACAGGCUUUGGCCUGUUCGCAGACCCAGUGGCUGUUCAGUGCCUCUCCACACACAGAAGUUCACAGACACUCCGUGCCCAGGACCCACAAGCCUGCCUGGGACCCUCUUGUCUCUCUUAAGCAUCUGCAGUUGGGUCACGCCAGUCUGCUGACUUCUCUUGUGCUGAGCAGCCCAAUGAGGACCAGCCCAGAUACCAUAAGAGGUUGCCAUGGUUACACAAUGAACGGCACAUUCAACCCACCUUGCAGGGACCAGCAAGGUCUGUGUCACUGGGAGGGAGGGAUAAGUACUUUAUUAUGGAAACUAUAAUGUCCCCAUGUACAGAAUGCCAUUCUUAAGUCAUUUCUGCCUUAAAGGCUACAAACACAAACUAUAGGGCAUUUCCCAGGCCCUGGGCUUAGGCGGGGAAACAGCUUAUCUCAGGCUCUGUGCCAAGAGCAGUGUAGUUACUCUGCCUUGUGCCCUCCGGAAGAAGGCUCAGAGAGGCCUGGCAACUCCUCUGUGAUCACAUAGUAGAUAGGUGACAGGGUCAGGGUUUAGAGCCGCAAGCCCCAGCAGUAAGUACGGCCUCAAACCAACCCUCUCCUAGCCCAGCCGGAAAGAGAAGACAUCUUCAGAUUAGGAUGGCAGAGGCGCGUUUGAACCCAGGUCUCCUGAGCUCCUCCUCUGUGCCAACAGAAAGGGAUAGGCUCUGCUGUCUGCAGCCCUGCAGUUGUGACACUGCUGCUGAUUCCUGUUUGCUAUCCCGACUCUACCAAACUGGACCGUGGUGCAUCUGUGAAGUGUUUGUGAGUGGAUCAAGCUGCCGCUGCUGACCUGUGAACUGAACUGCCUACUUCCAGACAACACAGAUGUUGCUCCAAAGAACCUUUCUAAACAGGUCCACUUCCCCAGAGCCUUCCUUUUACCUCUCGUGGGUGGUGGGCUACAAGGGAGGUUAAAGCAUUUAAGAACCAUCAUUAAAAAUAGGCAUUUGAAAAUAUUAAAGUUACAGUCACCUCUAGGUAUUUAAUUUGAAGAGCUGUCAGCUGUGGGCUGUCCUUACAGUGGAAUGUCACUCAGUCUUUUGACACGUGCUGCACGAAGGGACCCUGAGGACACCAAGCUAAGUGCAAAAAGACAGGUAUGAUUGUCUGAUUCUACAUAUAUCAGUGACUAAAUAGAAUAGUUGUGUCUACACUGAUAGGGUCUGGGGGUGUAGGGAAGGGAAGAGGGAGCUGGUGCAUAAAAGGCACAGCAUCUCAACGUCAUAAUUCAAAGAGUCCUGGGGCAGAGAAGGAGCAAUGGUCACACACCAGGACCGCUGAGCACUACACUGAAAAGUGGCUAAAAGUCCAAAAGUUUUGUGCUUUAUGUAUUUUGAUACCAAAAACCCCAAAAAACCAAAAAACCCUGAAAAUAAGGAAUCAGCCAUGACUAUGUAUAAAAAUCCAACUGGAGGGGCUGGAGAGAUGGCUCAGCGGUUAAGAGCGCCCGACCGCUCUUCCAGAGGUCAUGAGUUCAAUUCCCAGCAACCACAUGGUGGCUCACAACCAUCUGUAAAGAGAUCUGAUGCCCUCUUCUGGUGUAUCUGAAGACAGCUAUAGUGUACUUAUAUAUAAUAAAUAAAUAAAUCUUUAAAAAAAAAAUCCAACUGGAAGGACCUUGGCUGAAGCACUCAAUGUUCAACUGUAAGUAAAUAAUCUAAAAGAAGCCAUGGCCCAGUCACCGAGCUGGGCACCAUGUAAUCUUGGAGAUGGUAUUUUGAAACAGCACUGAAUCCCACGGGAAGUGUUCAUCGUGCAUUAUGUGGAAAGAAUGGAAGUCGUUUUGUGUUCAGUGUCAGUGGGAGCCAGGCUCUGGUGCGUGGGAGUCUCUGGGUGUGUGUGUUCAGGCAUUUGUGUGAGCAUCCAGCUUCCUGAGGUCCAGGCUCACUGACUGUUGUUUUCCUGGUGCAAGGACAGCCAGCGCUGACGGCAGUGAGUCAUAGCGAGCGUUUGUUCAGUGAAUGAAGAAGGAACUGAGGAAGAAAGGACCAGAAGGCUUACCUCAAAACCUUCAGCUGUCCUUCUUCCUGAUGUCAAGGCAGUUGACCUUAAUUUCUGUGUGAUCCCAGUGUUCUGCACAGAACACUAAUUGAUUUUCGGAAUAAAGUAUAUAGAGCACGCCAAAGCAGUUGUGGCUUAUUAAAACCACAGAUGCAUCAAGGCGCAUUGUAUGGAAUUCUGAAAGAAUUAAUGAAGUUAUUCUUAUUGUUGUUA